RNAcentral lists this ribosomal RNA (443 nucleotides) under uncultured bacterium. RNAcentral describes it as "partial 16S ribosomal RNA". It matches the Rfam family "Bacterial small subunit ribosomal RNA", at positions 338 to 795 of the family's 1533-position model. The record is from RNAcentral.
CCUACGGGAGGCAGCAGUGGGGGAUAUUGGACAAUGGGGGGAACCCUGAUCCAGCGACGCCGCGUGAGUGAAGAAGUAUUUCGGUAUGUAAAGCUCUGUCAGCAGGGAAGAAAGAAAUGACGGUACCUGACCAAGAAGCCCCGGCUAACUACGUGCCAGCAGCCGCGGUAAUACGUAGGGGGCAAGCUGUAUCCGGAAUUACUGGGGGUAAGGGGAGCGUAGACGGUUAAGUAAGUCUGGAGUGAAAGGCCGGGGCCUAACCCCGGGACUGCUCUGGAAACUAUUGAACUUGAGUGCAGGAGAGGGAAGCGGAAUUCCUAGGGUAGCGGUGAAAUGCGUAGAGAUCAGGAGGAACACCAGUGGCGAAGGCGGCUUACUGGACUGUAACUGACGUUGAGGCUCGAAAGCGUGGGGAGCAAACAGGAUUAGAUACCCCUGUAGUC